GUCCAGUGCACUUAUAUGUUUUCGUGAUGAACGUUUGCUAUCCGUUUUAUUUGAAAUUCUUUUGUUAAUAUUUUUAUUGUUAUUAGAUGGUAAAACAUGAAUAUUACUUUAUGUAUAACUUAUCUUUCUAUUUUUUUUUAUAAAUUUUUCAAAUAUGAUAAAUGAUCAAAUGUUGGACAUAUAAACCCAAAAUUGCACUUUAA
This 203-nucleotide microRNA precursor is filed under the name Oryza glumipatula. RNAcentral describes it as "MIR812 microRNA precursor family". It matches the Rfam family "MIR812 microRNA precursor family". Lineage: Eukaryota; Viridiplantae; Streptophyta; Magnoliopsida; Poales; Poaceae. The record is from Rfam by way of RNAcentral.